CCUACGGGAGGCUGCAGUAGGGAAUCUUCCGCAAUGAGCGAAAGCCUGAUGAAGCAACGCCGCGUGCAUGAAGAAGGCCUUCGGGUUGUAAAAUUCUGUUAUAAGGGAAGAAAGGUGGUAGGAGGAAAUGACUAUCAAUUGACGGUACCUUAUGAGAAAGCGACGGCUAACUACGUGCCAGCAGCCGCGGUAAUACGUAGGUGGCAAGCGUUAUCCGGAAUUAUUGGGCGUAAAGAGCGCGGAGGCGGUUAAUUAAGUCUGAUGUGAAAGCCCAGGGCUUAACCGUGGGGGGUCAUUGGAAACUGGUUGACUUGAGUGCAGAAGAGGGAAGUGGAAUUCCAUGUGUAGCGGUGAAAUGCGUAGAGAUAUGGAGGAACACCAGUGGCGAAGGCGGCUUCCUGG
This 402-nucleotide ribosomal RNA is filed under the name uncultured bacterium. RNAcentral's name for it is "partial 16S ribosomal RNA". It matches the Rfam family "Bacterial small subunit ribosomal RNA", at positions 338 to 732 of the family's 1533-position model. The record is from RNAcentral.